RNAcentral lists this ribosomal RNA (1391 nucleotides) under uncultured bacterium. Its description in RNAcentral is "partial 16S ribosomal RNA". It matches the Rfam family "Bacterial small subunit ribosomal RNA". The record is from RNAcentral.
UAGAGUUUGAUCCUGGCUCAAGAUGAACGCUAGCGGCAGGCCUAACACAUGCAAGUCGAGGGGUAAAAAUAGCUUGCUAUUUUGAGACCGGCGCACGGGUGCGUAACGCGUAUGCAAUCUGCCUUGUACUGAGGGAUAGCCCGGAGAAAUCCGGAUUAAUACCUCAUAGUAUAUCUGAGUGGCAUCAUUUAGAUAUUAAAGUUUUAACGGUACAAGAUGAGCAUGCGUCCCAUUAGUUAGUUGGUGUGGUAACGGCACACCAAGACGAUGAUGGGUAGGGGUCCUGAGAGGGAGAUCCCCCACACUGGUACUGAGACACGGACCAGACUCCUACGGGAGGCAGCAGUGAGGAAUAUUGGUCAAUGGAGGCAACUCUGAACCAGCCAUGCCGCGUGCAGGAAGACGGUUCUAUGGAUUGUAAACUGCUUUUGUACAGGAAGAAAUUAUCCCUCGUGAGGGAGCUUGACAGUACUGUAAGAAUAAGGAUCGGCUAACUCCGUGCCAGCAGCCGCGGUAAUACGGAGGAUCCAAGCGUUAUCCGGAAUCAUUGGGUUUAAAGGGUCCGUAGGCGGAUUAGUAAGUCAGGGGUGAAAGUUUGCGGCUUAACCGUAAAAUUGCCUUUGAUACUGCUAGUCUUGAAUAAUUAUGAAGUAGCUAGAAUAUGUAGUGUAGCGGUGAAAUGCUUAGAUAUUACAUGGAAUACCGAUUGCGAAGGCAGGUUACUAAUAAUUUAUUGACGCUGAUGGACGAAGGCGUGGGGAGCGAACAGGAUUAGAUACCCUGGUAGUCCACGCUGUAAACGAUGGAUACUAGCUGUUUGACCGCAAGGUUGAGUGGCUAAGCGAAAAUGAUAAGUAUCCCACCCUGGGGAGUACGUUCGCAAGAAUGAAACUCAAAGGAAUUGACGGGGGCCCGCACAAGCAGCGGAGCAUGUGGUUUAAUUCGAAGCAACGCGAAGAACCUUACCUAGACUUGACAUCUCCUGAAUUACUCUGUAAUGGAGGAAGCCGCUUCGGCGGCAGGAAGACAGGUGGUGCAUGGUUGUCGUCAGCUCGUGUCGUGAGAUGUUGGGUUAAGUCCCGCAACGAGCGCAACCCUUAUUGUUAGUUGCUACCAUUUAGUUGAGCACUCUAGCGAGACUGCCCGGGUUAACCGGGAGGAAGGUGGGGAUGACGUCAAAUCAUCAUGCCCCUUAUGUCUAGGGCUACACACGUGCUACAAUGGUCGGUACAAUGAGAUGCAACCUCGUGAGAGUGAGCAAAACUAUAAAACCGAUCUCAGUCCGGAUUGUAGGCUGAAACUCGCCUACAUGAAGCUGGAGUUGCUAGUAAUCGCGAAUCAGAAUGUCGCGGUGAAUACGUUCCCGGGCCUUGUACACACCGCCCGUCAAG